ACUCCUACGGGAGGCAGCAGUCGGGAAUCUUGUGCAAUAGGGGCAACCCUGACACAGCAACGCCGCGUGAGGGAUGAAGGCCCUAGGGUCGUAAACCUCUGUCGGGAGGGAAGAAUCCUCUGGGGGUGAACAAUCCCCGGAGUUGACGGUACCUCCAAAGGAAGCGCCGGCUAACUCCGUGCCAGCAGCCGCGGUAAU
RNAcentral lists this ribosomal RNA (198 nucleotides) under uncultured delta proteobacterium. RNAcentral's name for it is "partial 16S ribosomal RNA". It matches the Rfam family "Bacterial small subunit ribosomal RNA", at positions 335 to 524 of the family's 1533-position model. Lineage: Bacteria; Deltaproteobacteria. The record is from RNAcentral.